Molecule: long non-coding RNA, 5442 nt
Organism: Alligator mississippiensis (American alligator)
Lineage: Eukaryota; Metazoa; Chordata; Crocodylia; Alligatoridae
Exons: 3
Source: RefSeq, a predicted model, not a curated record
CUCCAGUGGUGGAGCCCGACCUAGCAGCAGGCAGCACCUAAGGGCAGGGAGUAAUUUCCUGCCCCCUGCUGCUUUGCUGACAAGGAGCACGUUUGCUUUCAGUCAGGUGUCUAAACAUGUGCUACUGCGCAGUUACUAAUCAUGAGUAAAUUUGCUACUUGCAUUUGCGGGUAGCAAAUUUACUCGCAAUUAGAGCCAAUUACUGCACAGUAAGCAUCUGCACAUGCAGAUGCAGAUGUUUACUGCUCAGUAAUUAGCUCUACUGUAUAGUGAAGCAUGUCAUGUAGACACAACCUGUGUGUCCUAGUUUUACUGCCACAUUCCCAUUUUUGUAUGAUGUUCUGGGAUACCUCAGAUCUUCUGUUUUUUUAUUUAAUCCAUUGAAGCAUAUGGCUUCUUUAUACUUGUCUGAGACACAUUACUACAAUGAGUAGAUAUCGCAUUAUGUCAAGAAGGAACAAGUGGUCCCAAGGAAGGAAUACUCAGUACUAUGACUAGCGUUUGGACUGAUGACGAGUCAGGCGACUAUAGGCAGUCUUAUAGCUGAUUCUGCCUCAAUAUUCUAUAAGAAGCCCGUUUAGUUACUGAGAGAAGUCUGUCAGGCUCAGGGAUGUGCUCACAUCAUUGCGGAGUCAUGAGAUGGCAGCAGCAACACCAGCCCACAUUUUGUCUGGGUGUUGCCUUUAAGGAACAGCACAUUUUGCCACAUUUUGCCUUUAAGGAACAGCCGCACCGAAGCACCCAAAAUUUCAAUUUUUAAACUGGAGCCAUCUUGUUUAAGGAAGAUCUUGAGAACUACCAUAGCUGGUGGGUGUUGUGGAUCCUCUAUUGGCAGGCAGCAUGACCUAGUAAGGGUAGCAUACUGGUACUAGGACGCUGAAGAUAUGGAUCACCUGUACUGUGCUGAGUGAUCUUUGGCAAAUCACCUCCUUGCCUCAGUUUCCCGUUUAUUAUGUGGGGACACAGGGACUGACUCCACUUGAGACUGAUGGAUAUACAGAGCUAGGUACUAUUGGCAGAGCAGUGCACAUGGCACCCAAAUAGCCAUAGGAGCAUGAGGCUAAGUAAUCAUCUUAGUACUUCACUCAGAUUCACAUCCCUGGAGCUAUCCAUCAAUCCAUGGAUCCCCAAGGAUUGAUUUGUCAGCAGGUGACCAGGCUGUUGCUGCCACCACCACCUUUAUGAUGGGAGACAAGGGUGUGUGUGGGUACUUGAGUUGUUGUCUCAAGCCCUUGAGAAUAGCUUGUGAGAUGCUGCCCCCUGCUGGAAGGUGGUAGGAGUGUACUUUUAUAGUGAUUGUCCAUUAUUUAGCCGAGUAUUGAGCACAUUGUACCUGUAUGAGGAAUGGGAAAGGUGAACGUCAGCUAUGGUAUCCGUGCUUCACUGUGGCAGGUCUUUGCUCCCCCAAACCCUCCAGCAAAGGACAGUUGGCUUCUUUCAAGAGGAAGGAGCCACUUCCCUUUGCUUUAAUAGAGGUGAUUAGGACCUCAGGGCUCUCUAGGUCUUCCACAAUUGACAUCAGAUCGAUCCACCCCCUCACAGCCUUUAUAAAAUAUUUUAACACUAUUACUGUAGAAUAAUGUGUUUUUCUGCCUUCCCCAAGACCUCUUUAAGAACUCCUACAUCAUCCCUUCAUCAGGGUAGCUGGUAGGGCAACAUAGAAGUGUGGCAUGUGGUGGCAGAUAUCUGAGUCCCACUGCAAGGAGAGGCACUGCUUACGUGACUAGUUUAGUUUGGCCAAGCAUUCUCUUAAAGGUUGGCUGAGAGCUCAUUGAGAGUGAUGGGAGUUUCUCCAUUUACUUCAGUGGGCUUUAGAUAGGCCCCUACUUUGGCUGAGCACUGAGAAAGGUUGAGGAUACCUUUCAGGGAGCUUUUCUCAGACAUACUAAGAAGUUGUCUAUCCUGUGAUGAAAGUGGUGCUGAACACAAUGCUGCCUUGUUUAGCCCAGCACAGUCAUGGAGACUUAUGUGAGCUGAAAUAGGCUGAGAGGGAAAGGAAUCCUGAGUCAGGGAGAGGUGGGAGAAGGCAUUCAGAUCAGCACUGAGAGUGGUGGAACCCAGGCUGGGUCUGGAACCAUGUCUCCAGGCUACAGAGCUCAAGUGAAACUUUGCUAUAUCACAAGGCUUCCCCACUCUGGUUUCUUCUUCUUCAGUAGUCUCUCACAGUGGAGAAUGAUUGCCUGCCAUGUUUGUCUUAUCUGUGGGUCCGAAGAUGGCUGAUGAGAUUGAUCCAUACUCAACAGGCACUGUUGCAACUCUAACACAUGUUUCUGUUCAGGGUCGGUGGUUCCAGAUUCCUGAUUUGGUCCACAACACUGUUUCUGCUGCUCCUGCUUUUCCAUCUCCUGUUGUCAUCUGAGGUUUCAGAGUACUGAGAUCAUUGCAGCGGACUCUUCCUCCAUUUGGGGCAGUCCUGGGUGAUAGUUUCAAAUGAGUUGAUAUUGAUGUUACAUUUUUUCAAGCUGGCCUUGAGGACAUCCUUGAAACACUUUCUCUGCCCUCCUCUUGAGUACACCUUGAUGGAGCUGGGAGAAUACAACUUGCUUCAGGAGUCUGGAGUGAUGUGACCAGCCCAGUGCAGUUGAUGUCAGAUGAUCGUUGCCUUGAUGCUCAUGGUAUUUUCUUGCAAGAGGAUGCUAAUGUUAGUGAGCCUGUCUUCCCACUGGAUCUGAAGGAUCUUUUGCAGGCAUUGUUGAUGGUACUUCUCGAACAACGUAGAUUUGGCUCCUAUUGAAAGAGGAGGAAGUCAGAGGCUCAACUGUAGGUUGGACAACAACAACAAAAAAGAAAACAGAUUAAUCCAACAGUCCUGUAAGCACUAUCUUAAUGCUCCAGGCUCCUUCGAUGGUCAUGUUUUCAACACAGAAACAAACCUGCUAAUGUCAUUAUGAGGAAUAGGCUUCUCUAACCAGACCGCAGGCAGGGGUGAUAUACAUCUAGCAUAGGCUGGCCCUGCCUGGUGUGGCAGGAGCAAGACACCAUAAUGCCAUUAGCCAGGAGAAAUUGGCUGUUUUGAUCUCAUUUAGUGCUGUGCCACUGAUAGGGGAAUUCAGUUCAGUGGCCUUUUAUGUGGGUGAAGUGCAUGAGGGCAGAGAAAAGUGAAAUUCACUCAGCUUGGUGGGGUUGGGGCACUGGGAUAUGGGUUGUAGUAGCAGCCAUUGCUGCUUCUGUUUGGAGUUGCUUAUAGUGUCCAACAUUUGAAUUUUCGGUUUGCAGCUGGCCAUGUUGAUGCCUGCCUCAGGCUGGAAAUACUAAGAUGAAGGGAUGAGAGGAAAGGAGCAACCAGGAGUCUGUCAUUUCCUACCUCCCGCAUGCUCGACUUAGCAGCUUUAACACCACUCUUUGAACAGAGCUCUGUGCGUGUAUGCACAGUUCUCAUUAGUAAUGCCAGUGCUAGGUGCUUUACAUACACAGUGAAGCUAUCCUGGGCCUGAACAGCUUGAUCUCUAGAAGGACAGACAAUACACAGGGAAAACAAUGUGCCAUGCAAGCAGGGUGCAGACUGCUACAUGCGUUGCCUGAUGCCUCCCCUUCCACAGUGUGUGGGGCUACAGAAGUGUGCUGCAGGACUACUCCACAUGUUCUUCUUGCCACACGUUCUUCUGGCCACAGGGCUACAAUGGCUGAGUCCUCCCCCAAGCCUUUGAUUGACUCUGUCAGGGUGUAGUCAUAUAUGCUUUGGCCUGUACUUGGUGGGUGAGCACAGGUGCUCUGCUCUGUAAACCAGGCUUGCAGGGCAGGGUCCUGGGCAGAAUGCACAGUGGGGCAUAUGCUUAGGCUGUUUUGAAAAGGAAAAACCUGUGCAGUUUUUUCUGUGCAGGUGACUAAUGGAUCCAUGACUAACAUGACUAAAGGAUGACAGAGAUAGCAGUGUGUGCACCAGGUAGCUUGGGGGCAAGCUACUGUUGUCCUUGUGCCUUUGGGGUUGUAUGUGGGUCAGUGUCAUAUCUGCUUUACUUCUUCUUGAGAGCUAAGCUGGGACUGCUGCUGUAUGUAGAAGGAGGGAAGCAGACAGGAGGUGAGACUGUUUCCAGCAUCCUCUUUCUUCAUUAGUGAGAGUAAAGCACAGCCCUGAGCAUCAGGGAAUUUCCACUGUGUGGGAAUGCUCAGUUCUAAAAGACCUUAACUACUUCCUCCCCUUUCUUGCCCGACCUAAAUCCAUGGCAAGGGGACCUGUGUUGUUUUUAUGUGAAUGUUGUCUGGCAUGAUAAUGGAAGCAAACCUGGGCAAUGACAUGCAGGGGAAAAGCAAAACAAUUUGGUUUCCAGGCCCUUGGGAUACUCGUAAGCAAAGAACCAACAGAAGAAAGGAAAAAUGAAAUGGAGAGAUGAAAACUGCAGCUGAAACAUGCAUGAGACUGGGGAGUAUUGGCCUGGAAUUCCAUUAAAAUUCAGAGCUGUAACCAGUUCCGCUGAAGAUCAGCAUGCACCCUAGGUGCUACCCUGACCUCUCUGACUAGUUCUUGGAUUAGCACCACUACUUGAACCAGGGACUAUGGAGCUACCAGCAUGACCUAAAAGGUCAUGCUCCUGAACCAAAACCCAUUCCUGUGAACUUGUUACCUGGUGACAGCUGCCAGGCCAUGUGAGAGGAAAUCUUCCACAAGGACCUGCAAAAGGAGCACAGAGACCUGAGCUGGCAAACAGCCCCCUGGGCACUCCCUGUGCAGGCAUGGAAAAACAGUGUAGGGCAGAGAGGUCCUUUGAACUGCCUGAGGCCAAUCUGCCAGUGGCAGGCAGAAACAAUCAACCACGUUUUCUGGAACUGCCCAUAUGCCAGAGAGGUGUGAAAGAAAGUACACAGACUCCUUCUGGCAGUGACAGGUUUCAGAACCCCGACCAGAGAAGUGGUCCUCUACGGGUACUUGACCUGACAGCCUGCUUUGACCAGUUCAUCUCCUGCUUCAGGUAUGCCCUGUGGAAAGCCAGGAACCUGUUCACAAAUAGGUGCUCAGACCCCACAAUUGAGGACUGUAUUAAAAUGGGGCUGAGUAAAAUGUACUGGUAAUACAGGAAGACAGAAGAGGACAACAGGAGAGAGAGCAGACCUCAUAUGGUGGAGAGAGGACUGGCAUAGACUUUUCAGAGACGAGCCCUCCAAAGAGAACAACGACGAUAGUGAUUCUGCAGAUUGUGACUGGAUCCACAGGGCCUGAGGGAUUCUGACUGAGUGGGCGAAGGCUGUUUCUGGAAGGGCAGAGCUGCAGAUAUGGUUUUGUUGAUAUUCCUCUCCAUCUGUGUUAUGCAUUAAGAUCAGGGGAAGGAGCAGGAGCCUUAAAGAAAGCAGGAUUAUGUAAGAGGGACAAACCUCAUUCUCCUGACAAAAGAAUGUGGAGAACAUGGCUUGAGGGGAACAACCUGUAUCUUAGUAGGGAGCCCUUUUAGUUUAAAAGUAAUAUUAUAGAAGUUUUAAAAUUUUCUUUGAAUUAAACUUUUUCUACCA